CCAGAAGCUCUGAUUUGUCGAUUGGAUUUCGCCGGAAGUCUCCGUUAUCGAUAUCGAAGAAAAGGAUGUUCGAAUCUGGAUUCAAUUUGUUCUUUUUACUAUUGCCACUACUCAUCCUUCAAUUUUUGCCUAGAAUUUCAGCAAUAAGGAAGGAUAUUGGCUUUCAAGAAAUAAAAAUUUGCAGAAAUACAGUUCAAGGAAGAUUUUUACUAUCUGAUGACAACGG
This 226-nucleotide unclassified non-coding RNA is filed under the name Hevea brasiliensis (rubber tree). Lineage: Eukaryota; Viridiplantae; Streptophyta; Magnoliopsida; Malpighiales; Euphorbiaceae. The record is from RNAcentral.